Molecule: ribosomal RNA, 253 nt
Filed under: uncultured bacterium
Lineage: Bacteria
Description: partial 16S ribosomal RNA
Rfam family: Bacterial small subunit ribosomal RNA
Source: RNAcentral
UACGGAGGGUGCAAGCGUUAUCCGGAUUUACUGGGUUUAAAGGGAGCGUAGGCGGAUCUUUAAGUGAGUGGUGAAAUCCUAGAGCUUAACUCUAGAACUGCCAUUCAUACUAUUGAUCUUGAAUUCGGUUGAGGUAGCUGGAAUGUGUCAUGUAGCGGUGAAAUGCUUAGAUAUGACACAGAACACCAAUUGCGAAGGCAGGUUGCUAAACCGACAUUGACGCUGAGGCUCGAAAGCGUGGGGAUCAAACAGG